Molecule: long non-coding RNA, 1845 nt
Organism: Alosa sapidissima (American shad)
Lineage: Eukaryota; Metazoa; Chordata; Actinopteri; Clupeiformes; Clupeidae
Exons: 3
Source: RefSeq, a predicted model, not a curated record
UUCGGAUACUUACGUCUUUGUCUGAUGAUGUCAUAUGCCUUGGACUCAACGAACGUUAUCGUUACACACUGGAUCGGAAAGUUAUGGUGAUCUGCACUGGUUUCAAACCUCUUUAAGUUAAGCUUCAAGUUGGCUUUUGAAAGCAUCGUUGUUUUAGCCUACUUCAUCAACACCAUGAAAAGUGUACUGGAACUUGUGGUCUGCGUGAUUUGUUGAACUAGAAGACCAUGGAAAAAUGGCGGAGAUAUUCCCAAGUCACUUCUGAUUGUGCUGAGAGCUCAACAGUGCCAAACUUUGACAAAUUGACAUUCGCCAGUUGGCCUCAUUCAAUUCCAUUGCUGUCUGCCUAAUAAUGUCAGUGGUAAGUACAGUACCACGACGGGAGUGGUAAGUACAGUAAGUACGACGUUGUUUAAUUAGAUUGGUUAUCAAUGGGAUUUUAAGUUUAUAAUGAUAUUUGCCGAAGCGUUACCUAACGUUAGCGAGACAGCUCACUGACAUUAGUGUUAACGUUAAACAUGCUAUGAGCUAGGACACCAACGUGAUUUUGAUCAAAUACGUUUCAUUCAGCAUGGUAACUAUAUUCAGAUGUGGUGGUUAUCAACGAGUUUGCUAUUACUGUUAUGCAGAUGAACAGUGGAGUAAAUUAAUGUGCUACAUUUGCUUUGAACCUGAUAUAGCUAGAUAGGAGUUUUUGCUCCAACUGCUUUCAGAUCAUUUAUUUCCCUGUAAAUUUGCACUUCUAAAGUCUCACCAGUGCAGGUUUGUGUUCUUGAUGUAAUGUUGAUGGAAUAAUUUGUAUUGCUGUAUCUGCCAAAUAAUUUCUUAAAUGCAUAUGAGCUUUGCAGAUGCCGAGAGAGGCUGAAGUGACAAGAGGACAUUGCCUAUCAUUAGGGCAAUUACGACAAGGUCGAACCGGUGGUCUACUUCCUCAAGGAACCAUGAUGUUUUCAGGGAGGACUGGCCGUUUCUCCUCCUCAACCAGGUUUUUCAGGAGAGCACUGGUCACUCUACUAAAGACGUGCAUGGCAGGUUGGACACUGAAAUGGGAGUGGGUUGGCGGUCAUGAAGGAUAAAUGGGUAUGUACGGUUGUUCCUGUGUUAAUGGCCGUUUGCAUCAGGAACGAUAACUAUAAUGAUAAGUGUCCUCACUGAUCAAUUAAGAAAAGUCUCUCCUUGAAUAUGAUAGCUAAAAUUUGAUGGAUUUUGGUUGGCUGUCAGCUUUGUAUUGUUCUCAACAUCGUUUGGAAAGUGAUCCCCAACAACAUCUUUCUUCAUGUUAUCGUUACAGUUUAUGUGUGGAUGUAAGGUGGUCGGCCGUGUGUGGUGGGUCUUGCUGGAGAUGGCCUCUUGCUUUGGUUUAUGGUUAUGACUUAAUGUGGCAGCUGUAAAUGUGUUGUUCCAGGUAUAAACUGAAUGUUACCCGCUCUGUUCUCCCUCCAUUCUCCACUGUGCCUGUUCUGCUUACCUAGGACCAAGGAUGCUGAGGACGAGAAAGGUGUGCGGUAGGAUGAACAGCCUUCAGCUUCAACAUCACCCCUAACACUCCUGGCUCCAUCAAACGUGCUGCAUCCUCCUUAGCUUGUCCCUGUUAUAGGUGUGCAGAGUUUAUAGACAGCUACCCAUCCUUUCCACAUUGUGUAUUUUCUGUUGUUCACACACACACUUCAGACAUUAGGAACUGAAAUCUUUUUUGAAAAUAUAAAUGAGUGUCAAACCUCCUUUCUAUGUUGCAGUCCCACCACACCUUCCUUCUGGUAUUUUUGUUGUUUUUCCCCCUGGUUUUUUUUGUUAACACACACUUGUUUCACACAUUGAAAAAUGAAUAAAAUAUGUAAAAUAUGA